UACAGAGGUCUCGAGCGUUGUUCGGAUUCAUUGGGCGUAAAGGGUGCGUAGGCGGCGAGGCAAGUCUGGUGUGAAAUCCCGGGGCUCACCCCGGAACUGCACUGGAUACUGCUUUGCUAGAGUACUGGAGAGGGAACUGGAAUUUACGGUGUAGCAGUGAAAUGCGUAGAUAUCGUAAGGAAGACCAGCGGCGAAGGCGAGUUCCUGGACAGUUACUGACGCUGAGGCACGAAGGCCAGGGGAGCAAACGGG
This 252-nucleotide ribosomal RNA is filed under the name uncultured bacterium. RNAcentral describes it as "partial 16S ribosomal RNA". It matches the Rfam family "Bacterial small subunit ribosomal RNA", at positions 524 to 776 of the family's 1533-position model. The record is from RNAcentral.